AUUGAACGCUGGCGGCAAGGCCUAAUACAUGCAAGUCGAACGGUAACAUAGAAAGCUUGCUUUCUUGAUGACGAGUGGCGGACGGGUGAGUAAUAUUUUGGGGAAAGCUACCUGAUAGAGGGGGACAACAGUUGGAAACGACUGCUAAUACCGCAUAAGCCCACGGCUCGGCAUCGAGCAGAGGGAAAAGGAGCAAUCCGCUUUGAGAUGGCCUCGCGUCCGAUUAGCUAGUUGGUGAGGUAAACGGCCCACCAAGGCGACGAUCGGUAGCCGGACUGAGAGGUUGAACGGCCACAUUGGGACUGAGACACGGCCCAGACUCCUACGGGAGGCAGCAGUGGGGAAUAUUGCACAAUGGGGGAAACCCUGAUGCAGCGACGCCGCGUGGAGGAAGAAGGUCUUCGGAUUGUAAACUCCUGUUGUUGGGGAAGAUGAUGACGGUACCCAACAAGGAAGUGACGGCUAACUACGUG
This 473-nucleotide ribosomal RNA is filed under the name uncultured bacterium. RNAcentral's name for it is "bacterial SSU rRNA". It matches the Rfam family "Bacterial small subunit ribosomal RNA", at positions 30 to 507 of the family's 1533-position model. The record is from RNAcentral.